This 509-nucleotide ribosomal RNA is filed under the name uncultured bacterium. RNAcentral's name for it is "partial 16S ribosomal RNA". It matches the Rfam family "Bacterial small subunit ribosomal RNA", at positions 29 to 507 of the family's 1533-position model. The record is from RNAcentral.
ACGAACGCUGGCGGCGUGCUUAACACCUGCAAGUCGAACGAAGAGCGACGGAAGCUUGCUUCUAUCAAUCUUAGUGGCGAACGGGUGGGUAACGCGUAAUCAACCUGCCCUUCAGAGGGGGACAACAGUUGGAAACGACUGCUAAUACCGCAUACGAUCUAACCUCGGCAUCGAGGAUAGAUGAAAGGUGGCCUCUACAUGUAAGCUAUCACUGAAGGAGGGGAUUGCGUCUGAUUAGCUAGUUGGAGGGGUAACGGCCCACCAAGGCGAUGAUCAGUAGCCGGUCUGAGAGGAUGAACGGCCACAUUGGGACUGAGACACGGCCCAGACUCCUACGGGAGGCAGCAGUGGGGAAUCUUCCGCAAUGGACGAAAGUCUGACGGAGCAACGCCGCGUGAGUGAUGACGGCCUUCGGGUUGUAAAGCUCUGUUAAUCGGGACGAAAGGCCUUCUUGCGAAUAGUGAGAAGGAUUGACGGUACCGGAAUAGAAAGCCACGGCUAACUACGUG